Molecule: long non-coding RNA, 1074 nt
Filed under: Homo sapiens (human)
Lineage: Eukaryota; Metazoa; Chordata; Mammalia; Primates; Hominidae
Description: HSALNT0194437
Source: RNAcentral
CCCAGCUGGAGUGUAGUGGCGCAAUCUUAGCUCACUGCAUCCUCCCACCUCAGCCUCCCAAGUAGCUGGGACUACAGGCAUGCACCACCACACCUAGCUAAUUGUUGCAUUUUUUGUAGAGGCACCUGGUCGCCCAGGCUGGUCUCAAACUCCUGAGCUCAAGCUCAAGUGAUCUACCCACCUCAGCCUCCCAGAAUGCUAGGAUUACAGGCGUGAGCCACCAUGCCCAGCCUUAAUUUUUUCUAAUCUUGCAAGUCUGCCUUUAAACAGUGCAAGAGGUUGGGACAAAAUAACUGUUUUUGCUGUCUUUCCUUCUCUAGAUUCACUUCAGACAUUUUGACUUUACUUUAAAGCAAAUAUUAAGGCCAGUUUUGAAGAGAGAGGAAAAUUGCCAAACACUACUAUCCAGAGUUGUGUAAGGGAGGAUGGGGGUUGGACUCAUGAGCCUCACUCUGUGUUAUAGCACCAGCUGGUGGAGCCAGUGCCUUCUCUCCUGUGGCUCCCUGCCUGAAUCACUGCCCAGCUGCCAGUCUACUCCGUUUUUUGUUUUCCCUAAGCGGCCCGUCCAUCCUCCUCAUCCAGAUCUGCCAGCCCUGGUCCAUCAGUGCAGACUAGCUGGGGUGUACUAGAGGCCUGACAAAGGACACAGCAGGAUGGAAUCUGAGGACACCACAGGCCUGCAAUGUGGGUGAGCCAUCCUGGCUGCUCUUCAUGACUUCAACCAGUUUCAAGCUGGCAGAGUUCUUUUCAGAAAAAGCCCUAAGAGGGGAGGGUCCCUUUAUUGCCAAGAUUCUUCUGUUCUUCCCCUGACAAGUGACUGGCCCCACUCCCAGCUGCCAACCUUGCCCAAAUUUCCCAUUCUGGUGACUGGCUGGGAGCUAUCAGAGGGAAAGAAGGUGCAUUUGAGUCAUGUGCUCACAGCAGCUGUUGCCUUUUCCUAUUCAGAUCUUUCCCAGUUCUGAAGUUGAAAGUUUUAAAACAAUUGGGAACAUAGGUACUGCUCGGUUCCCAAGAGGUAGGCACCUUGUGCUCUGGAGAGAAGGCCCAGUGGUCUUUUGCCUUCAUCUGAAGCUG